RNAcentral lists this unclassified non-coding RNA (322 nucleotides) under Ceratobasidium sp. Its description in RNAcentral is "partial contains 5.8S ribosomal RNA, internal transcribed spacer 2, and large subunit ribosomal RNA". The record is from RNAcentral. Lineage: Eukaryota; Fungi; Basidiomycota; Agaricomycetes; Cantharellales; Ceratobasidiaceae. RNAcentral also lists the same sequence under 1 other name.
AACGCACCUUGCGCUCCUUGGUAUUCCUCGGAGCACGCCUGUUUGAGUAUCAUGAAAUUCUCAAAGCAAGUCUUUUGUUAAUUCAACUGGCUUUUGUUUUGGAUUUGGAGGUUUUGCAGAUUCACGUCUGCUCCUCUUAAAUGCAUUAGCUGGAUCUCUAUAAAACCGGUUCCACUCGGCGUGAUAAGUAUCACUCGCUGAGGACACUCUUGAAAAAGGGUGGCCGGAUUCAUGGAUGAACCGCUUCUAACGGUCUAUUAGAUUAGACAAACACACUUUAUGAUCUGAUCUCAAAUCAGGUGGGACUACCCGCUGAACUUAA